AUAGUAACUGAUCGAACCCCUUCUUGGGGUAAAUCAUUCAAGUUUCUGCCCUAUCAGCUUUCGAUGGUAGUGUAUUGGACUACCAUGGCAGUCACGGGUAACGGAGAAUUAGGGUUCGGUUCCGGAGAGGGAGCCUGAGAAACGGCUACCACUUCUAAGGAAGGCAGCAGGCGCGUAAAUUACCCAAUCCUGAUUCAGGGAGGUAGUGACAAGAAAUAACAACCUGGAAGACUUUGUCUUUACAGGAUUGUAGUGAGAACAAUCUAAAAACUUUAUCGAGAACCAUUGGAGGGCAAGUCUGGUGCCAGCAGCCGCGGUAAUUCCAGCUCCAAUAGCGUAUAUUAAAGUUGUUGCAGUUAAAAAGCUCGUAGUUGAAUUUCUGUACAUUCCCGGUGCCGGCUCUUGUCGAACCGUGGAGUGUGCAUCCGCUUACAAACUUAGCCCGGUCUUCAUUGGUCGACUAAGGGAGUAGGCCCUUUACUUUGAAAAAAUUAGAGUGUUUCAAGCAGGCAAUGGCUCGAAUACAUUAGCAUGGAAUAAUGGAAUAGGACUGAGGUCCAUUUGGUUGGUUAUUGGACUUUAGU
RNAcentral lists this ribosomal RNA (584 nucleotides) under Metanophrys sinensis. RNAcentral describes it as "SSU rRNA". It matches the Rfam family "Eukaryotic small subunit ribosomal RNA", at positions 253 to 863 of the family's 1831-position model. Lineage: Eukaryota; Ciliophora; Oligohymenophorea; Philasterida; Orchitophryidae. The record is from RNAcentral.